RNAcentral lists this microRNA precursor (82 nucleotides) under Bombyx mori (domestic silkworm). RNAcentral's name for it is "mir-2807 microRNA precursor family". It matches the Rfam family "mir-2807 microRNA precursor family". Lineage: Eukaryota; Metazoa; Arthropoda; Insecta; Lepidoptera; Bombycidae. The record is from Rfam by way of RNAcentral.
UUAACUCAAUUUUGUAUGGAGUUGAAACGUUUGCCUACGUUUGUCGCUAGGGGCUGCUCCAACUGUAUACAUAUUUGAGUUA